GAUGAAGAACGCAGCGAAAUGCGAUACGUAAUGUGAAUUGCAAAUUCAGUGAAUCAUCGAGUCUUUGAACGCACAUUGCGCCCCCUGGUAUUCCGGGGGGCAUGCCUGUCCGAGCGUCAUUGCUGCCCUCAAGCACGGCUUGUGUGUUGGGCCCCGUCCUCCGAUCCCGGGGGACGGGCCCGAAAGGCAGCGGCGGCACCGCGUCCGGUCCUCGAGCGUAUGGGGCUUUGUCACCCGCUCUGUAGGCCCGGCCGGCGCUUGCCGAUCAACCCAAAUUUUUAUCCAGGUUGACCUCGGAUCAGGUAGGGAUACCCGCUGAACUUAAGCAUAUCAAUAGAGGA
RNAcentral lists this unclassified non-coding RNA (341 nucleotides) under soil metagenome. RNAcentral describes it as "partial contains 5.8S ribosomal RNA, internal transcribed spacer 2, and large subunit ribosomal RNA". The stretch from base 1 to 119 matches the Rfam family "5.8S ribosomal RNA", at positions 35 to 154 of the family's 154-position model. The record is from RNAcentral.